Molecule: small nuclear RNA, 98 nt
Organism: Dipodomys ordii (Ord's kangaroo rat)
Lineage: Eukaryota; Metazoa; Chordata; Mammalia; Rodentia; Heteromyidae
Source: Ensembl
GUACAAGGCACAUAUACUAAAAUUGGAAUGAUACAAAGAAGAUUACCAUGCCCUUGUGCAAGGAUGACACACAAAUUCAUGAAGCGUUCCAUAUUUUU